UUGGGAGCUUACUGUCUUCGGAGUCGGGGGAACUCCGAAGUUAAGCGAGUUGGGGCUAGAGCAAUUCUAGGAUGGGUGACCAACUGGGAAGUUGCUCGUGAGUUCCCAGA
This is a non-coding RNA of Prunus persica (peach), 110 nucleotides long. NCBI's taxonomy places the organism in Eukaryota, Viridiplantae, Streptophyta, Magnoliopsida, Rosales, Rosaceae. The record is from Rfam.